RNAcentral lists this ribosomal RNA (492 nucleotides) under uncultured bacterium. RNAcentral's name for it is "partial 16S ribosomal RNA". It matches the Rfam family "Bacterial small subunit ribosomal RNA", at positions 28 to 507 of the family's 1533-position model. The record is from RNAcentral.
GAUGAACGCUAGCUACAGGCUUAACACAUGCAAGUCGCGGGGCAGCGUCGUCGUUACUUUCCACUCGUUGUGGCUAGCCGGGCACGGGGGAGUAACGCGUGUCUCCCAUGCCCUUCUCCACGGGGUAACCCCUCGCAAAUCUAACACUAACCCUCAAUGAUCCCUUAACGACGUCUGGUAUUGGGGUUAAGGUUUUCUCGGUAAGGGUGGGGGAUGCUUCCGAUUAGCUUGAUGGCGGGGUACCGGCCAACCUGGGCUACGAUCGGGAGGGGUUCUGAGAGGAAGGUCCCCCAAAAUGGAACUGAGAAACGGUCCAGACUCCUACGGGAGGCAGCAGUGAGGAAUAUUGGUCAAUGGGCGUAAGCCUGAACCAGCCAAGUAGCGUGCAGGAUGACGGCCCUAUGGGUUGUAAACUGCUUUUAUGAGGGGAUAAAGUGGCUCACGUGUGGGUUUUUGCAGGUACCGUAUGAAUAAGGACCGGCUAAUUCCGUG